UUUCUUGAGAAAUUCACUUCGGUGAUAUUUCGACUUUCAAAAGAUAAAUUAAGGACAUUAAGUUGUACUUGAUUCAUCUUUCCUACAAGUGAUAAUUUGAAAAACAAGGUGAUGAAACCCCGAGUUUAUGAAAUGACACACAAAACUAAUUUUCCGGAAAAACCAUUUUGAUUAAAACAAACUUAAGUGUUUUGAAAUCAUAAUGGGAAAAUAGUUUGUUGUGAGGGGAAGUUCUGAUUGUUUAUGCCAGGGGGAGUUCUGAUUGUUUAUGCCAAGUGGAUGGCGAACUAA
Molecule: long non-coding RNA, 291 nt
Filed under: Helianthus annuus (common sunflower)
Lineage: Eukaryota; Viridiplantae; Streptophyta; Magnoliopsida; Asterales; Asteraceae
Description: hypothetical non coding rna
Source: RNAcentral